This 1884-nucleotide long non-coding RNA is filed under the name Homo sapiens (human). RNAcentral describes it as "HSALNT0398267". Lineage: Eukaryota; Metazoa; Chordata; Mammalia; Primates; Hominidae. The record is from RNAcentral.
AUAAAUAAAUAAAACAGAAAACACACAACACACAACCAAAUGUAGCAGUGAGGCUGGAAGCAAGAUGGAGUCAGUCAUGUUUGAUUUCUCUCCUUACUUAUAAUUCUGCAAAGGAGGUUUCAAUGUUGGGAUGGCAAAUAUUAAGUAUCAACUUGAUUGAAUACAAGAAUGCAAAAUAUUGUUGCUAGGUGUGUCUGAGAGGGCAUUGCCAGAGGAGAUUCACAUCUGAGUCAGUGCACUGGGAGCAGCAGACCCACCCUCAAUCUGGGGGGGCACCAUCCAAUCGGCUGCCAGCCCAGCUAGGAAAAGUAGGCCAAAGAAAACGGAAUGAGUCAACUUGCUGAGUCGUCCAGGCCUUCAUCUUUCUUCUGUGCUGGAUGCUUCCCUGCUCUUGAACAUCAAGACUUCAGGUUCUUUGACUUUUGGACCCUUGGACUUACACCAGUGGUUUGCCAGGUGCUCUCAGGGCUUCCGCCACAGACUGAAGCCUGCACCGUCAGCUUCACUGUCAUAUUUUUCAGGUUUUGGGACUCAGACUGAGCCACUGCUGGCUUCCUUGCUCCUCAGCUUGCAGAUGCCUAUUGUGGGACUUCACCUUACAGUCAUACCCGAUGUGAAGCCUGACUGAGCAGAGUGGAGACCAGCAGCUGCACGUCAAGUGGCCUUCCCAGGACUUGACUCCAUAUGCAUGUUCUCGUCCAUGGGCUCAUACCCAGUCCAAAGGACUUUACCCCAGCUCCAUCUUUGCCCAGACACACUUGAGGCUGCAGGGUUUUGGUAAGAACACAACUGCCAGAUCAAUAAUUGCAUACCAAGUACCAAACUCUGUUUUGAUUUGCCCCAAUAAAGACACAACAUCUGGCACAGCAUCUGUGGUUGGGGCACAAUCUAGCUCUGGUUAUGAAAGUUUACAAUUUCCUGCCCUUGUCUGUGAUACAGUUUGGAUGUGUGUCCCCUCCAACUCUCAUGUUAAAGUGUGAUCCCCAAUGUUGGAGGUGAGGCCUGGGGAGGUGUUUUGGUCAUGGGAGGAGAUUCCUCACAAAUGUCUUGGUGCCCUCCUCACAGUAAUAAGUGAGUUCUCACCCUGUUACUUUGUGCAAGAGCUGGUGACUUGAGUCUGACAUCUCUCCUGUUCUCUGUCUUGCCAUGUGACGUGACUGCUCCUCCUUUGCCUUCUGCCAUAUUGUAAGCUUCCCAAGGCCCUCACCAGAAUCAGAUGCUGGCACCAUGCUUCCUGUACAGCUUAUAAAACCGUGAGCCAAUUAAAUCUCUUUUCCUUAUAAAUUGCCAAGCCUCAGGUAUUCAUUUAUAGCAAUGGAAAUGGACCAACAGAGGUAGUCUGCUUUAUAAUGGGUCAGAACGUGAAUCACAUGAGGAUACGAUAGUGCUUGUUAUUCCUGAAUUUUCCACAUCAUACAAUUCACCUUCUGGGCUCCAUAUAGGGGAAGUGAUUCUGGAAAACGUGGUUCCCACUUCAGAAGGAACAGUGGUGUUGGGGACACGUUGACAACAGAAAGUCUAGCACAGUCCACCCCAUUCAAAAAUAAGCAUCUGUAGACAUUUUCAACUUCCAAAUAAAAGCAGCAACAAUACUAUUUUCCACCUAAUGUGAUGCAACUAUUCAUUUUACAACCCAAAGACCUUUAAUCUUCUCUAUGGAAGAGAUAUUUGAAAAUGCUAGUCCGUCUCCCAGAUGACUAACAACCCCUUUUGCUCUUUCAUGCUAUAAAUACCAAGGAUCAACCAAUAUAAACCUAUAUUACAUAGAGGGGUAUGAAGGCACUGAGACAAAAAGCAGAGGACUCAGUUAAUACAGAAACUAUAUUCACAUCAGCUGGGCAUGGUGGCACAUGUCUGUAGAGCUACUCAGAGGGCUGAGGUGGU